This 438-nucleotide ribosomal RNA is filed under the name uncultured archaeon. RNAcentral describes it as "bacterial SSU rRNA". It matches the Rfam family "Archaeal small subunit ribosomal RNA", at positions 19 to 462 of the family's 1478-position model. The record is from RNAcentral.
GGACCUGACUGCUAUCGGAUUGAUACUAAGCCAUGCGAGUCAUUGUAGUAAUACAAGGCAGACGGCUCAGUAACGCGUAGUCAACCUACCCUAUGGACGGGGAUAACCUCGGGAAACUGAGAAUAAUACCCGAUAGAACAUUAUGCCUGGAAUGGUUUAUGUUUCAAAUAAUUUAUUGCCGUAGGAUGGGACUGCGGCCUAUCAGUUUGUUGGUGAGGUAAUGGCCCACCAAGACUAUUACAGGUACGGGCUCUGAGAGGAGUAGCCCGGAGAUGGGUACUGAGACACGGACCCAGGCCCUAUGGGGCGCAGCAGGCGAGAAAACUUUGCAAUGUGCGAAAGCACGACAAGGUUAAUCCGAGUGGUUUCUGCUAAAGGAACCUUUUGUCAGUCCUAGAAACACUGAUGAAUAAGGGGUGGGCAAGUUCUGGUGUCAGA